AAAAAAAAUAGGAAAAAAAGAAAUUAUAUUAGAAAAAAAAAAUAAUAAAAAGAAUAAUAGUUAAUUAAUUAAGGAUUAAAUUAUGAAUUUGUAAUUUAUGUAGUUGAAGUAAAUGAAUAGAUUUACAUGAUAUGACAAUGUUUAAAGGCAGAGUUGUAAUAUGAUAAAUUAUUAUAGUUUAAAAAAAUUAAAAGUUACACUAUAUUGAAAUUUUUGGCUCAUAUUUAAAUGUAUAAAUUAUUUAAAGUCUGGCCCUAUUAAGUUUGGUGGGAAUUGUGAGUUAGUUUAAGGGUGAGGCAUGCCAUAUACAGAUCUUGCAGUACUGCACUACAGUUACACGGAUUUUUGGGAUACAAUGAGGUAUCCUACAGUCAUAGACUCGGCUUUUGAGCCAUACAGUUAUUUGGCACUUUGUGCCCUACAGUUACAGUUUCCUUAUCUGACUUAACAGUCCCAUUUAAAUUUAUAGGGGCCAACAGAAAAAUAAUAAAUAAAUAAAAGUAUUAAGAGAAAAUAAAACCAUUUACAUGAUGAAGAAAAAGAAAAGAUUGUGAAAUGAAAAUAUGUAUAUAUGUAAAAUAAUAAUAUGAUUUAGCUUAUGUCAAAUGAUUUGUUAUAUAGUUAUUUGUUGUUUGUUUGUUUGAAUUACUGUUAUUACAUGAAUUUUGAUUUAAAUUUUUAUUUAUAUAAAAAAAAGUUGAGCACCACUAAGCAAUUUGCUUAGCGCGUAGGAAUUUAUUUUUCCUCGCGCAGGUUGUAGAUUCAAAGAGCAGUAGAUCAAGAUCUGCAUCAACCCAGCCAGAGUUACAUCAUCAUCUAUAUUGGGGUGAAAUUAAGUCCAUAUUUUAGGGGAAACUCUGCCGGAUUUUCA
Molecule: long non-coding RNA, 871 nt
Organism: Manihot esculenta (cassava)
Lineage: Eukaryota; Viridiplantae; Streptophyta; Magnoliopsida; Malpighiales; Euphorbiaceae
Exons: 2
Source: RefSeq, a predicted model, not a curated record